RNAcentral lists this ribosomal RNA (475 nucleotides) under uncultured Pelagibacterales bacterium. RNAcentral describes it as "bacterial SSU rRNA". It matches the Rfam family "Bacterial small subunit ribosomal RNA", at positions 95 to 604 of the family's 1533-position model. Lineage: Bacteria; Pseudomonadati; Pseudomonadota; Alphaproteobacteria; Candidatus Pelagibacterales. The record is from RNAcentral.
GUGGCAGACGGGUGAGUAACAUGUGGGUAUCUACCCUUUGGCCUGGAAUAACACGAGGAAACUUGUGCUAAUACCGGAUAAGUCUUUACGGAGAAAGCUUUAUGCACCAUUGGAUGAGCCCGCACUUGAUUAGUUUGUUGGUAGGGUAAUGGCCUACCAAGACUAUGAUCAAUAGCUGAUUUGAGAGGAUGAUCAGCCACAUUGGGACUGAGACACGGCCCAAACUCCUACGGGAGGCAGCAGUGGGGAAUCUUGCACAAUGGAGGAAACUCUGAUGCAGCGAUGCCGCGUGAGUGAAGAAGGCCUUUGGGUUGUAAAGCUCUUUCGUCGGGGAAGAAAAUGACUGUACCCGAAUAAGAAGGUCCGGCUAACUUCGUGCCAGCAGCCGCGGUAAUACGAAGGGACCUAGCGUAGUUCGGAAUUACUGGGCUUAAAGAGUUCGUAGGUGGUCGAAAAAGUUGGUGGUGAAAUCCCA